This 257-nucleotide signal recognition particle RNA is filed under the name uncultured Robinsoniella sp. Its description in RNAcentral is "Bacterial large signal recognition particle RNA". It matches the Rfam family "Bacterial large signal recognition particle RNA". From Rfam's summary of the family: The signal recognition particle (SRP) is a universally conserved ribonucleoprotein involved in the co-translational targeting of proteins to membranes. Archaeal SRP consists of a 7S RNA and homologues of the eukaryotic SRP19 and SRP54 proteins. Lineage: Bacteria; Bacillati; Bacillota; Clostridia; Lachnospirales; Lachnospiraceae. The record is from RNAcentral.
GCAGCUGGGGAGCUAGCGGUGCCCUGUACCUGCAAUCCGCUCUAGCAGGAGUGAUGCUAAUCCGAGGGUCUUGCAUUGUGAGGCUGCCCUUUAUAAGUGGCGUUGACGUCUGGGUCUUACGCAACAGGAAUCUGUGAACCGUGUCAGGUCAGGAAUGAAGCAGCACUAAGCAGAAGCUCUUGUGUGCCGUGAGGGUGCCUGGGCUGAGUUAACUGUAGAGGUAACGCUUGUGGUGGAGAUUCAAAGUGCGGCGCACG